This 557-nucleotide ribosomal RNA is filed under the name uncultured archaeon. RNAcentral's name for it is "bacterial SSU rRNA". It matches the Rfam family "Archaeal small subunit ribosomal RNA", at positions 321 to 879 of the family's 1478-position model. The record is from RNAcentral.
CCCUACGGGGCGCAGCAGGCGCGAAACCUUCGCACUGUGCGAAAGCGCGAUGAGGGGAUCCCAAGUGCUUGCUCGUAAGAGUAAGCUGUUUUUAUGUCUAAAAAGCAUAGAGAGUAAGGGCUGGGUAAGACGGGUGCCAGCCGCCGCGGUAAUACCUGCAGCUCAAGUGGUGAUCAUUAUUAUUGGGCCUAAAACGUCCGUAGCCGGUUUGGUAAAUGCCUGGGUAAAUCGUGUAGCUUAACUAUACGAAUUCCGGGUAGACUGCCAAACUUGAGACCGGGAGAGGCUAGAGGUACUCCUGGGGUAGAGGUGAAAUUCUGUAAUCCUAGGGGGACCACCAGUGGCGAAGGCGUCUAGCUAGAACGGGUCUGACGGUCAGGGACGAAGCCCUGGGGCGCGAACCGGAUUAGAUACCCGGGUAGUCCAGGGUGUAAACGCUGCUUGCUUGAUGUUAGUUGGGCUUCGAGCCCAAUUAGUGUCGGAGAGAAGUUGUUAAGCAAGCUGCCUGGGAAGUACGGUCGCAAGGCUGAAACUUAAAGGAAUUGGCGGGGGAGCAC